RNAcentral lists this ribosomal RNA (301 nucleotides) under uncultured bacterium. Its description in RNAcentral is "partial 16S ribosomal RNA". It matches the Rfam family "Bacterial small subunit ribosomal RNA", at positions 509 to 807 of the family's 1533-position model. The record is from RNAcentral.
CAGUAGCCGCGGGAAUACGUAGGGUGCAAGCGUUAAUCGGAAUUACUGGGCGUAAAGCGUGCGCAGGCGGUUUGUUAAGACAGAUGUGAAAUCCCCGGGCUUAACCUGGGAACUGCAUUUGUGACUGGCAAGCUAGAGUAUGGCAGAGGGGGGUGGAAUUCCGCGUGUAGCAGUGAAAUGCGUAGAUAUGCGGAGGAACACCGAUGGCGAAGGCAGCCCCCUGGGCCAAUACUGACGCUCAUGCACGAAAGCGUGGGGAGCAAACAGGAUUAGAUACCCCUGUAGUCCCUGUCUCUUAUAC